Long non-coding RNA from Cyprinus carpio carpio, 436 nucleotides. NCBI's taxonomy places the organism in Eukaryota, Metazoa, Chordata, Actinopteri, Cypriniformes, Cyprinidae. The record is from Ensembl.
CUGCGCUGUAACCAUAGCAACAGCGGAGCUCGAGAGCGUUCUAUUUGGAUUCGUAAUCUGUUGGUACGUCCACAGAAACAAAGAAGCAGAUUGUCCGCUAUCAGCGGUGAUGGUGCGCGGAGGAAGAAUGCGAGCAUACAGCGAAGUCAAACAAAAGUUCCUCAGAUGACAAUUCCUGAAACAGAAUAGGAUGGACUUGCUAAAACCGAAUCCCGCACUCAUCCUGCAUCGGGUUAUCCAGACAGGCUCAAUCUAUUCAGAUCACAUGAUGCUUCAUUUCAAUAUAGGUCAUUCAUGUGAAGUCGCAGACUGGGGUUUCUCCUUAGGAGCAGACAAUAGUGUUGCAGCAGGAAACACAUAUCUCCCUCGAGAGCUUCACGGCAUGCUCCCUCACCCUGAUGUAGCGCCACACACAAGAAAAUAAAAAAAUGGAGCA